CCUUUUAUUGAAGAGGCACUAUUUUCCCUAAUGUGUGUUUUUAGUGCCUUUGUCAAAGAACAGUUGACUGGACACUCAAUGAUUCACUCAUUCCAUGGAUGAUAAGAUGAAUAAUUUACCAACUGCUGGAGUGUCGUGCAUCAUCCAUGCAGAUCUCCCAAUACCUGCAGGUAACAGAGGCUGUGGUGCAGCCACCUGGGCCUCCCAUAACAGAGCAUAUGAAGCUGUGGCAAAAGGAUUAAGAAUGUUUUCAUAUUUUAUUUACACAAAAUUUUUCUGAUUUAUCAUGUUUGAUGCAUAUAUAAUUACCAUUUGUAUGUAUGUGCAUGCAUAACAUGUUAAUGUUAUUUGAUUAAUUCUGUGUUGCUGAUUUCUUAACUUAAUUCUAUUACUCUUCUCGGUUUUAAAAUCUGUUCUAAGGUCAUCUUGCAUACUAGCAUGUACGUUACUUUGAGAUAAAUUCUAGGACAGAUUAACUUGGAUUAAACCCAUGCUCUAUUGUUUACAGGGUAUUUGAUAAAACAUUUUCAUAAAAAAAGCAAGAUUUAUGUAUUUGCUCUCAGAUUAUUUUUGUGGUUUUAUGUAUUAAUAUAUUUUUUAAAGUGCUAGAAUGACAUCCUGUGUAUAGUCAGUGUUCAAAAAGAACAACACUUUUGAAGAAGAACAACAAUGCUAUUGUUACUAUUAUAUUAAAGCCGGCAUGCAUAUCACAUGCAAUCCAUUCAAUUCAAAGUCAUCCAUGAAUCCUUUCUUCAGUGUUCUACUUCUGUGCUACUCAAAAGUUUGGUAUUUGGACUAAAGGCAUUGGCAUCACUUGAACUUGUUAGAAAUGCUGACACUCAGGCCCAACCACAGACCUCUUUGAAUCAGAAUUUGCAUUCUAUCAAGAUUUCCAGUUCAUUGUUACACACAUGAAAUUUUGAGAAGUAUACUUCUUAUUCACCAUGACUUUUUCUUCUAAGAAAUAUGCAUAACUUAUUCUAAAUGAAAUAAAUAUGAAACUCCAAAUGUAUAUUCCUGUACUGAUGCUUUAAUUUUACAUGUUUUAUCCCAUAAAAUCACAGUGUCUACACUGGUUAUGUAAAUAUUAUGUCAUUGUUUUUGCACAGAGUUAGAAAAUGCAUUAGGGAAUAUUACGAUGUUGACCAGUAUCUUAUUGGAUCGUUCAGGUCACUCAUGUGAGUCAAAACCUGUUUUCCUAACUCUGUAAUUUUGUCUUGGGUCAAAUGAAGAACUCUGCCCAUGGUCA
This is a long non-coding RNA of Galeopterus variegatus (Sunda flying lemur), 1249 nucleotides long. RefSeq lists it as uncharacterized. Lineage: Eukaryota; Metazoa; Chordata; Mammalia; Dermoptera; Cynocephalidae. The transcript has 2 exons. The record is from RefSeq and is a predicted model, not a curated record.